This 537-nucleotide long non-coding RNA is filed under the name Pan troglodytes (chimpanzee). Its description in RNAcentral is "lincRNA". Lineage: Eukaryota; Metazoa; Chordata; Mammalia; Primates; Hominidae. The record is from RNAcentral.
AAUGCAUCCCUGGAUCAUAGCGGACUCUGCCUAUAGAGGCCUGGGGUCCCUUUGGCAGCACUUUUGUCAAGAAAGUAGAGUCGUGGACAACCAACUGCACAGGUUGGGAGGCUUUGAAGAACAAGCUGCCAUGAAUCCUGCAGCUACAAGGAAAUGAACUCUAUUAACUUGAGUGAGCUUAAAACUAGAUCCUUCCCCAGUCAAGCCUCCAGGUGAGAAUUCAGUCCUGGCUGGCACCUGGAUUGCAGCUUACAGAAGACCCAGCUAAGGCCAUGUCUGGACUUUAAAUCCACAGGAACUGCAAGAUGGUAUCAGAAGUGGGACCUGCAGUGGGGCAUCUAGCAACCCCCAGGAGCAUUAAGUGACAAGGCUUGGGACCCACCGGGCCCAGGGUGUCCAUUGUUCUCUCGAAGCAACUGAGAAUUGUGGAUAUUCUUCAUUAUUCCAUCAUCAUCUCAAACCUCUUGGGUAUAGUGUUUGACUGCUACUGUGACCAUAAAUUCCAAUAAAACCUAGGAAAAAAUGAAACCACUACAU